RNAcentral lists this ribosomal RNA (271 nucleotides) under uncultured archaeon. Its description in RNAcentral is "partial 16S ribosomal RNA". It matches the Rfam family "Archaeal small subunit ribosomal RNA", at positions 477 to 747 of the family's 1478-position model. The record is from RNAcentral.
CGGCGGCCCGAGUGGUAGCCGUUUUUAUUGGGUCUAAAGGGUCCGUAGCCGGCUUGAUAAGUCUUUUGGGAAAUCUGACAGCUUAACUGUCAGGCUUCUAAGGGAUACUGUCAGGCUUGGGACCGGAAGAGGUAAGGGGUACUCCAGGGGUAGGAGUGAAAUCUUGUAAUCCCUGGGGGACCAUCUGUGGCGAAGGCGCCUUACCAGAACGGGUCCGACGGUGAGGGACGAAAGCUAGGGGAGCAAACCGGAUUAGAGACCCGAGUAGUCC